UGCCUGGUAGCUCAAUUGGCAGAGCAGCUGGCUGUUAACCAGCGGGUUGCAGGUUCGAGUCCUGCCCAGGCAGCCA
RNAcentral lists this transfer RNA (76 nucleotides) under bacterium. Its description in RNAcentral is "tRNA-Asn". It matches the Rfam family "tRNA". From Rfam's summary of the family: Transfer RNA (tRNA) molecules are approximately 80 nucleotides in length. Their secondary structure includes four short double-helical elements and three loops (D, anti-codon, and T loops). The record is from RNAcentral. RNAcentral also lists the same sequence under 4 other names.